Molecule: ribosomal RNA, 471 nt
Filed under: uncultured Alphaproteobacteria bacterium
Lineage: Bacteria; Pseudomonadati; Pseudomonadota; Alphaproteobacteria
Also listed under: 1 other name
Description: bacterial SSU rRNA
Rfam family: Bacterial small subunit ribosomal RNA
Source: RNAcentral
GAGUUUGAUCCUGGCUCAGAGCGAACGCUGGCGGCAGGCUUAACACAUGCAAGUCGAGCGGGCGUAGCAAUACGUCAGCGGCAGACGGGUGAGUAACGCGUGGGAACGUACCUUUUGGUUCGGAACAACCCAGGGAAACUUGGGCUAAUACCGGAUAAGCCCUUACGGGGAAAGAUUUAUCGCCGAAAGAUCGGCCCGCGUCUGAUUAGCUAGUUGGUGAGGUAACGGCUCACCAAGGCGACGAUCAGUAGCUGGUCUGAGAGGAUGAUCAGCCACAUUGGGACUGAGACACGGCCCAAACUCCUACGGGAGGCAGCAGUGGGGAAUAUUGGACAAUGGGGGCAACCCUGAUCCAGCCAUGCCGCGUGAGUGGUGAAGGCCCUAGGGUUGUAAAGCUCUUUUGUGCGGGAAGAUAAUGACGGUACCGCAAGAAUAAGCACCGGCUAACUACGUGCCAGCAGCCGCUGUAAC